GCCUGGGUGGCUCAGUCAGUUAAGCAUCUGACUCCGGCUCAGGUCAUGAUCUCAUGGUUUGUGAGUUCAAGCCCCACAUCAGGCU
This is a transfer RNA of Felis catus (domestic cat), 85 nucleotides long. It matches the Rfam family "tRNA". From Rfam's summary of the family: Transfer RNA (tRNA) molecules are approximately 80 nucleotides in length. NCBI's taxonomy places the organism in Eukaryota, Metazoa, Chordata, Mammalia, Carnivora, Felidae. The record is from Rfam.